GACAAGGUGGCUGAAUUUUAGGCUAUAAAUUGUAAAUUUAUAUAUGAGUUAAUAUCUCUCUUGUUA
Molecule: transfer RNA, 66 nt
Filed under: Nabis ferus
Lineage: Eukaryota; Metazoa; Arthropoda; Insecta; Hemiptera; Nabidae
Description: tRNA-Tyr
Source: RNAcentral